This is an unclassified non-coding RNA of Erinaceus europaeus (western European hedgehog), 335 nucleotides long. Its record names the gene 7SK. It matches the Rfam family "7SK RNA". From Rfam's summary of the family: 7SK was discovered as an abundant small nuclear RNA in the mid-70s but a possible function has only recently been suggested. NCBI's taxonomy places the organism in Eukaryota, Metazoa, Chordata, Mammalia, Eulipotyphla, Erinaceidae. The record is from Ensembl.
GGACGUGAGGACAAUCUCAAUCUGUCACCUCAUUGAUUGCCAGGGUUGAUUCGGCUAAUCUGGCUGGCUAGACGGGUGUUCCCUUCCUCACUGCUCCGUGUGCGUCCCUCCCGAAGCUGCGCACUCUGUCGAAGAGGACAGCCUCCUCCGAGGAGAUGGAUCAGUCUUCCAUAGAGGGUAGAGGGUAUACGAGUAGCUGCGCUCCCCUGCUAGAACCUCCCAACAAGCUCUCAAAAAGGAUUUUACUACACCUGUGUUCAUAGCAGCACUAUUUAUAAUAGCCCAGACACAUACACAACACAGAUGCUCAACACAACAGAAUACUCCUCAGCUGU